RNAcentral lists this ribosomal RNA (255 nucleotides) under uncultured bacterium. RNAcentral describes it as "partial 16S ribosomal RNA". It matches the Rfam family "Bacterial small subunit ribosomal RNA", at positions 524 to 776 of the family's 1533-position model. The record is from RNAcentral.
GACGUAGGUCGCGACGUUAUCCGGAAUUAUUGGGCGUAAAGGGUGCGUAGGUGGCCUGGCAAGUUAUCAGUGGUAAAUCGAGGCCCAACCUCGUGGAAACUGGCAAUACUGUUUGGCUUGAGUGCAGGAGAGGUUAACGGAACUCUAUGUGGAGCGGUAAAAUGCACAGAUAUAUAGAAGAACAUCAAUAACGGCGAAGGCAGUUAACUAUUCUGUUACUGACACUGAGGCACGAAAGCGUGGGGAGCAAAACGG